CGGGGAGUGGCGCAGUCUGGUAGCGCAUCUGCUUUGGGAGCAGAGGGUCGCAGGUUCGAAUCCUGUCUCCCCGA
RNAcentral lists this transfer RNA (74 nucleotides) under Sphingomonas lutea. RNAcentral's name for it is "Sphingomonas sp. JS5(2011) tRNA". It matches the Rfam family "tRNA". Rfam says of the family: Transfer RNA (tRNA) molecules are approximately 80 nucleotides in length. Their secondary structure includes four short double-helical elements and three loops (D, anti-codon, and T loops). Lineage: Bacteria; Pseudomonadati; Pseudomonadota; Alphaproteobacteria; Sphingomonadales; Sphingomonadaceae. The record is from Rfam by way of RNAcentral. RNAcentral also lists the same sequence under 1 other name.